UACGAAGGGGGCUAGCGUUGCUCGGAAUCACUGGGCGUAAAGCGCACGUAGGCGGCUUUCUAAGUCAGGGGUGAAAUCCUGGAGCUCAACUCCAGAACUGCCUUUGAUACUGAGGAUCUUGAGUUCGGGAGAGGUGAGUGGAACUGCGAGUGUAGAGGUGAAAUUCGUAGAUAUUCGGAAGAACACCAGUGGCGAAGGCGACUGACUGGACAAGUAUUGACGCUGAGGUACGAAAGCGUGGGGAGCAAACAGG
Molecule: ribosomal RNA, 253 nt
Filed under: uncultured bacterium
Lineage: Bacteria
Description: partial 16S ribosomal RNA
Rfam family: Bacterial small subunit ribosomal RNA
Source: RNAcentral